AUUUUUUGUUUAGCAACAGAUUCCACAAGAUGGGCUUUGGGGGUGCUGUUUUGGCAUUGAUAGUGCAAGGUAUUAGAAGGUCCAUCUCAUUUCCUGUGCUUGUUAACCCCUGCAUGAAACCAUUGAGUGAGGCCAUCAGUAUGUUGUUGGCACCCAGUUCUACUUUCUUAUCUAAUUCAGGGGCAAAUACAUGUAUCCUGGCAGGUAUUGUAUAGGUUGUUGGCUGUAUUAAGGGUGAACAGUCCAGGUGAGAUGGUGGUUAUAUUUAACACCUUAUUAAGCCUUAAGAGUAGUAUUAGCCUGUGUACUUCUCCAAAAGAACAGGCUUGCAGCUUGGGGUUAUUUUUAGAUCACACAUUGUAUAAAAAGAUGCAGAACUGGCAUCUGUGGGUGGAUCGAACCUUUCCGGGGGAGGGAAGAGUAUAGGAUCCUCUGCUAGAGAUCAUGUGAGCUGCGUGGACAAAAGCCAUGUGAGAGGAAGACUACAAUAGGGAGGCUGAGGAUGAUGGAGGUCAGAAAUUCCCACAGGAAAACUGCAACAAGGAAGGAGAAUAGAGUGUCUCUUUUAAAAUCCUGGAUCCAGAAGAACCUGUUGAUAUACUUUUAUAUUUGUGAUUUUUUUUCUGUGAACUGCCUUAUGACAGAACAGACAUUUUCUAAAUACCUAAAUUAAAUCCUUUUUCUCACAACUCUGCUUUCCCCUUGGUGAUAUGAAAUAAAUACUAAUCAAGGGGAAAACACAUUUCCUCUUAACUGUCCUCAGAAUUAAUGUUCAUAGUGGGAAAAUGAUAUAUUCAGGUAUCAAAGCACUGAUUCUUCUGUGUAGUAGUUCACAAAGUUUUUAGGGUAGAAAGUUCUGUGCUUGUGUGUUAGACAUAAAAAUAUAGACAGUCCAGAAAGAAAGUGAGUUUACUGUGCUGUGCAUCUGUAUCAUACGUGAGCCAGGCUGCUAUAAUGCCUAAGACCAGGAAUACCACCCUUGAAUACCACACAUGAGCAAAUUAGUUAGCCAGGAAUCAGUAAGGAAGAAAAUUCUAUCUUGUAAUGAAGAUAGAGACUGAGUUAACUUAUAACAUUAAUUUUCCAAUUCUUUCCUGUGUACUUGCCCAAAUUCUUGAACAAUUAGUACAUGAGCGCUGAGUGAUUUAAUAUCUCUUACUAAACCUUGGUUUUCUAUGCUUCAUACCUGUUGAAUUUUGCCAUUUGAGACUUUGGUCAAAAUAAAAGCUUUUGCAUACAUGCAUACAGAUGAGAGGGGGAAAUAAUCAAUACAGUAACUUGAGACUUGGUAAUGGAAUAGUAAGAAUUCCACUGAGUGGUUUCACUGUGUGUACAGUUGCUUACAGGCAAUAGUCAACUUCCUUGUUACCUUGAGAAACAAGGUUAACAGAGUGGAUGCAUCAGUCGUCUCCCCUCCUUAGCCCCUGUUCCCUGUGCUUAGUGAGCACAACCUCUGCCCCUCUGAGCUGGAUGAACAUCCUCUGUCAUCUCCCAAAAUGAGACUUUUUGGAUGAGAGGCCCUGGGCACUUCUGUGUAGGGAAGAAAUUUGAUCAGGCACCUGGUGAAAGAAUCUCAUUCUACAGACAGCCAUUGAAUCACCCUUCAGGAUCCUACCUGAAUUGCCUUCCUCAGUGUUGGGCCCCUCUGCUUCUACUACCUCGCCUUUGCACUCUCGUGACUUUCAGUCCACCUCCUCUGCAGCAAGGAAGAUACUUCUGGGAUAUAAUCCAUUGUCCCUUAGUGGUACUUUGCCAGGUGGUUUUCCUUCCCCCUUCCAGACAGAUGUCACUGGCCGCAUUUAUUCCUCACGCACAUUUCCACCUCGCUUGGGUGCUAAUCCCCAGAACUCUGGAAAUAGCCGGGUUACAAAGGAAGCCAGGAGUGGAUUUUCAACUGACUUUGCUAUGGAGACUGACAGGCAGGGAGAUGGAAUGGGCAUAAACUCGCGCAGGAGUUUUGGUAUGCCAUAUGCUUGUCAGAGGAGUGGCUCUGGCCCCAUGUUUACCAGUCUUGGUGGGAGAUUGCCAAAUAUCCAGCCAGGGAUGGCAGAUCCUUUUGUUCUGGAUAAAUUGCUUCACACCUUCCAAACCAUGAGGUGUAGCGUUGACAACAUAAGCCAGGAGCUCAGAGUGGUAAAUACCCAUCUAGCCAAUCUCUCUCACCACUUUGCACUAGCCCAUCCCAGCCAUAGUCUGCAGCCUCGUGAUGAUGACCCACAUUACCACCCUUGAAGAGGUGCCCAGCAUUUUCAGGAUCUCAAAUCAGUAGCCUCAACUUCAUGAGAUUAGUCUUGAUUCACACCUUGUACACUUCUAUGCAGAGCGUUGCUAUGGAGGUUAAGUCACAUAGUUUCUUUAUCAAGUUCUUUCACCUGCUGCAGACUGCACCUUUGAGGGAUGAAGUGACUGAGACUUUGUAUAAACAUACAUAUUCGUCACCAUACAUAUUACUAGCUCCCAAAUAUGGACAAAUGCUUGAUAUAUCAUAUUAUGUGAACUUGUCUGUGAUCCUCACAUUACCAUCUUUUUGAGAGGACAAACCAAACCUAAUGUCACCUUCAGAGUUCCUGUUUUGCUUAUUGGGUCUUUGGCAAUAAAAGUAUAUUUUUAAAACAGCAGUCUUUUUGAAUAGCAGCAACUAUACCUUCAGUAUGUGUGAGAAGAAGGAUUUAUACCACACCUUUCUCUCCUGUAUAGAGACUCAAAGGGGCUUAUAUUCCUUUAUUUUCUCUCCCCACAACAGACAUCUUGUGAGGUAGGUGGGACUGAGAGUGUUUUGAAGAACUGUGACUAGGCCAAGGUCACCCAGCAGGAAUAUGUAGGAGCAGGGAAACCAAUGUGGUUCACCAGUUAAAACUUCGCCACUCAUGUGGCGGAACGGGGAAUAGAACCUGGUUCUCCAGAUUAGAGUUCACCUGCUCUCAACUACUACACAAUGCUAACUGCUUGUGAUGUAGUGUGCUGUUAAUCUCUUUAUGCUUUAUUUCAUGUGUUAUGAUGGAUAUUGCAGUCCAUUCCAAUCUGACGUGCAUAUUGAUUAUGCCUUCUGUUGGGAUAGUGAUUUGUGACUUUAUCCCCAUUAUGGGCUUCACUAUUUAAACUCACUAUCACAGGCACAAUGAAAGUCCACCCAAGCCCCUAAGCCACUUCAUUGUCUCAAAGAUAUAAAUACUGGGAGUAGGGGAGAGCUUAAUUUGAUGGGGCAAACCAAACACACAGAUAGCACAACAGUUGUGGAAAAAAAUUGGGAUGGUUCCCUGAGCUCUCUAAGUGUUCAGGAGAUUCCUGAAAAAGACUAGUGCUGAGAUGUUGAUGGCAGUCUCUCUCACCCAAGGGCAGUGUCAGGACUCCAGUUCAUCGGUUAGCUGACAUGAAUCUGGAUCUUUAAGGCACUUGAGUUGUUCCAGGAGACGUCACUCCUCUUAUCGAAGUCAGUCCCAUCCCUCUUUGUCACCACAGCCUGGUCUAUCUCAGGAAGUUCAAGUGGGAGAGGCACAGAGUUCUCCAUUGGUGACUGAGGUUAGUGGAAUACUUGAGCCCUCAUCCAUUGCUCUGGGACAGCCCAUUGGAUAGGUCCCAAGUCAUCGCUCCAGAAAGUCUCUCUCAAGUCGCUCUGACCCUAGGGAUUCUUGGCCUCUUGUUGCUCAACAUUGUGAGGAUCAGUGUCACUAUGAUCCACACCGCUCGAUCCAUCGUUCGAAGCAUCAUGCCUACAGUUGUAAUAGACCUUCAAUCAGCAAGCCUUCAAUGUCGUGGAUUGCCUUGAUGUUGGAGUCAGUGCCCAAUAUCUUGUACCUCUCAGUAAAACCCAGAAGGUUUCUCUAUGAGCCCUCAACGCCAGGAUUCGAGCAGUCCACCUACUCACCUGCACCAUUCCUACAGUCUGCGGUACUGUCUUUCUUCAUCUUGACACCAGGAUUCUUACAGCGGCCAAAGCCAUGACUCCCCCUAUGGCUCUAGGAUGUUACCUGACCGUAUCUCAGCAAGCCUUCAAGGGUUUCUGAUCAAGAUUUGCAUCAGGAUUGAAUCCAUCCCCAGCGGAUCAGUUUGACCUGUCUUCUGAACCUUCACCAUUAGAUGAUCUGACGGAGUGGGAGCAGAAUAAUGGCCAGUACGCUGAAUUUGACUUUCAUUGCUCCAUUGGAUGGGUUGGCUGAUUCCGUAGUUGGCUGUCUUUACUCUGCUAGCAAAAAUCCAGCAGUGCUACCUAUGUCAAAAGCAUUCUUAGACAUAGCCCAGGCAAUUGGGACAAAUUGUGGCAUGGGGCUUCACCCACAAAAUUGAAAAUAUAUAUAGGAUCCAAGAACCUGGCUGUUCCUUCCUAUUCAUCCAUCUGCCCCUAACUCCAUGGUCGCUAGGGUCCUCCCCUCCAGAUAUAAGUCUGGGUCCCACAGCUCGCCCCAGGACAAGGAGGGGAGAAUGCUAGACCUCCUGGGGAAGAAAUUCUACUCCCAUGGGGCACUGGGCAUCCAGAUAGCUUUCUAAAGAGUGAUGGAGAGGUAUCUAAUGUACCUGUGGGAUAGGGUUGCCCAUCUAUUCGACCACCUUCCCACCAAGUACAAGGCUCUGGCCAAGGCCACGUAUGUGGAAGGUGCUAGGGUAAAUGGCUCUAGGCACAUCACAAACACUGUCUCCAAUACAAUGGGGUCAGCUGUUUACCACCUUGGCACAUUUGGCUGCAUUCUUCUGCUUGGAGGAUUUGCCCUUCAACGGGGAGAACCUAUUCAACCCCAUAACAGAUUACAUCCUCUGUGCCCUCACAACUCAAUCCCUAGGGAUCUUGUCCCAGCCUGCCUCUCAGUUCUGCAGGUAUAUCCCUCAUUACCCCCUAUAACAACAUUCAUCUUGUUUUGGUUCCCCUGGGGGUUCAAACACCAGCAACGGCCCAUGUUUCCUCAGCAGGGGUCAAGGAGAUUUCAAAAUUCUCAGAGGGGUUGAAAGAGCGGGUGUUUCCCCUCUCCAUCUGAUGCCAAAAAGAAGGCAUGACUAGAGGGGGGUCUCAUUCUUAGACAGACUCUCUGGUUUUGUGGUUUAUUGGGAGUUUAUUACCACUAACAAGUGUAUGCUGAAAAUAUCACCUAAUCUUAUGGAUCUAAUUUACCUUUUCGGAUUGAGAAUUGGACCGAAAGCAACCAUCUACCAUUAGUCUUAUCUGUUAGAAAUACUAGUGUGUGUCCCCCCCCCCCCAAAUUACUUAUAAAAGUCAAACCACUUCAAAGGAACUUUUUAGGAAAAUUCAUUGGUUGCCUAGAAUGGCUUAUCUUUUAUCUUCAACUCUGAGAGAUUUGAUUAUCAGUUUUGAGCCUAGUUCCCUGUCUCUGGGAUGUUCUUUAGAAAUAGUUUCUAAAUUGCACUCGUUAGUGAAGCCUAUCCAACCAAGGUUGGUAUCUGAUCCCAGCUUGUUUGAUUUUGAAUGUGUCUGAUCAAAAAGACACCUGAGCAAGAUUUUUAAGCUUUUUUGUAAUACUAAUGACACUUCUUUUUGGAGAGUCUAUUUACAACAUAAAAAGGCACACCAGUCACUAAUACAAGAGAAGAGAACCCAGUUUAUUAACAAACAAUGGACUAUGUUAUACAAUACCUUAAAAUCUAACGAUAUCAAACAAUUCUGGGCGUUAGCAAAUGGAUUUAUAAGACAUUCAUCUUAUGUAACAGAAUUAUAAUGGUUUGAACAUUAUUCAGAACUCCUCCAUGAUCCCAAAAAAAUCUGACAUAUGAGAGAAUUCACCUGAUGAUAAUCACCUGUCAUGGCCAUCCCCUGAACUAGAUGAAAUCCUUCAACUAGUCCAUCAUCUUAAGAGAAAUAAGGCUCCAGGUAUUGAUGGGAUCCCCGGUGAGGUUCUCCUGGAACAUGCUGAUUGAUGGACUCCCAUAUUAGUGAAGUUAUUUACUUGUAUUAACCAGCAUGGUAUAAUUCCUAAAACUUGGCGAUCAUCGAUUAUAAUGUCAUUCCAUAAGAAAAAGCCCACAAAUAGACCGAAAAAUUAUAGACCUAUUAGCCUUCUCUCUAUUUUGGCAAACUUUAUGCUAAAUAUCUUGAAAGUUAAAAACCUGAAUAAUUGAGAAUAAUAUAUUUGGCCCCAGAACAGGGAGGCUUUAGAGCUGGGAAAUCUACAAUAGAUUAUUGUCUCAUUCUUCUCUUCCUUAUUGACAAGUACAUUAACAAAGGAUGGAAGAAACUGUAUGUUGCAUUCUUGGAUCUGAGCAAUGCUUUCGAUACAGUUUCUAGAAACCUUCUCUGGCUUAAACUGUCUCAUUUGGAUAUGGAACCUUGCCUACUUACACUAAUCCGGAAAAUGUAUAAUAAUACAUCUUGUCAAAUUAAACUGGAUCACUUGGGUUCACUAUGUAAUAUAAUUAAAACUGCAAGGGGGGGGGUUAAGCAGGGCUGCAUGUUGGCCUCGCAUUUGUUUAAUUUAUAUAUAAAUGACUUAUAUGUUUAUCUCAAUACAAUUAAAGGCCACCCUCCCAAAUUAGGUAGCAGCUCCAUUCCACUUUUGUUAUAUUGAUACUUCAAUUUUAUUGCAAACUAGAGUUGGUCUCAAAAGAUACUUUAAAGCUUUCUUAACUAUUGUGACUUGAAUGAAUUAAAAGUUAAUCAUAUAAAAUCUAAAGUUGUCGUAUUUUCGAAACGUUGGCAUCCAUCCUAACAUCUGUUUAGAGCAGGAUAAAUAAUUAAGAAACCUUGGCCUGAUUUUUUUAUUAUAAUUCCAAUUGGUCUUUAGAAAGAUCAUGUUCUGUAACCUCUGGGAAAUCCUUGACUUUGGGCACUGUACAGUUUUAUUAUGUGAAGGACUGCCAAUCAAUGGACGCUGCUUUAAAUAUUUUCCAGGCAAAGAUGAAACCAAAAAUCCUCAAUGGGAUACCUAUAUGGAUUGAAGCUUUUAAUUCAGCAGUUGAACAAAUUCAAUCCUUUUUUUUUUUUUGAGAAGAGUUAAGGGUGUCCCUAGUAGUGUAACAGUCUCCACAUUAUGUCUCAAAUGAAGCUUAUCCCUACUGGAAACUAAGGCCUGGAUUUCCACAGUAAAGUAUUGGCUUAAGAUUCAUUUUAGAACAGAUAAGAAUGAUAUCAUUUCUCAUCUUCUCAAAGAUAAUCAUAUAUCACGGUGGUCCAAAGCAAUGACUACAAAAAUCAGAAGUAUUGUAAUAGAUCUGACCAUGCUGCAAAAUAGUAGCGAACAGUUUAUUCUGUCUCAAAUUAAAGAUAGGCUGAGAGAUCAUGAGCGACAUAUCUUUUACUCAACUAAUAUUGCAGUUUGUUUCCCUCGAGCUUUGGGAAUCACUCCUAAGUAUGGGACCACAGCCAAUUAUCUUGUUUCUGUACUAACUACUGAACAGUGCCGAGCUGUUGCUGGCCCAUUUUAAUAGCUUCCCUUUAGCUGGGACAAUAGGAAGAUACCAACAGGUUCCAAAGCAACAAAGAUAUUGUCAUUGCAGCUCUCUUGAUUCCCUGUCUCAUAUUCUUUUUGACUGCAAUUUAUAUGCUCGAUUAAUUCACCCUCUGUUAUCGCUAAGGAAUAUCCAAAACUCCAAAUAUGGUGUGCAUUUCUUAUUAGAUGAUGUCAUUUCUCAUUAGAGAUGUCAUUUAUACAGUUGCUUUAUGUCUGGGGACUAUUUUAAAACAACUGCAUUUUAUCUGACUACCUGUUCCUGGAUUUUUUUUUACUGUUGAUUUUAUAAAAGGUGAAGAGAGAGAGUGUGCUGAAAAUAAUAAAACUGGGUUACUAUUUGGAA
Molecule: long non-coding RNA, 7734 nt
Organism: Sphaerodactylus townsendi
Lineage: Eukaryota; Metazoa; Chordata; Lepidosauria; Squamata; Sphaerodactylidae
Exons: 2
Source: RefSeq, a predicted model, not a curated record